This 45-nucleotide non-coding RNA is filed under the name Schistosoma mansoni. Lineage: Eukaryota; Metazoa; Platyhelminthes; Trematoda; Strigeidida; Schistosomatidae. The record is from RNAcentral.
AUUCAACUGACGAGUCCCAAAUAGGACGAAAUGCUGGUCCUGGAU